GCUGCCAAGCGCCUCGACUCCGCCUUCCCCACACGCCACGACGCCCAUUGGGCGACCUGAGCCGGCCUCCCCGCCCUCCUCUUCUCGGCCAUACCAAUAGGAGACAGGAUGCCGGGGCUACACCCCACCCUUGAAGAUCCAGGGCACUCUCUGCUGUCUGAAGGGCCAUUCUUCAAGGGCUGCAAGGAUAUGAGAAACACAGUGGUGGAAGAUACUAGCCUGAGGAAGAUACUAGUGAGGCCUGAGAAAAUGCCUUUCAGCAAAAUUAAAAUCAGGCCGUGGAGGGGGAACUUUCAAUCUGGAGCGAUCAAGCUCCAAGACAGACAGCUCCUUUAGGACACUGCUCAAGUUAGGAUGGGGACGCAUCCUCUGGCUUGAAGGUCCCAGAAUUCAGAAGUAGUAUGGCUCUCUUCAUCCACCGAUAUCCACCCCCAGGAAUUUGCGCUAGAGGCUCAUGAAAGAAAGGGAGAACUCCGAGUGGACCAAAAGGAUUAGAAAAAUGAUGCCUGGAUGCCUGGCGCCCACACGCAGUGAGCCCCUUAAUCCUUGCCCCUGUCUUCCUGGUGCUGUCCCCAGGUUGAGUCCCUGGUUGGAAGAGUACUGCCUUCAACUAGAGCAACUAAGGAGGCCUAGAAUGAGAUCCAGGGCUCCCAGGAUGCGUGAGAGCUGCCCUGUGGAGGUACUGGAGAAGUUGGGAGGGGGAAGCUGUGGGGAGAGGAAAGAAGGCAGAGAUGAGCUCAGGGCCCCCAGAGAAUGGAGUCUUUGUGUGGGGUACAGAUGAGGGACAAGGGGCUGAUUGUGUGGGAGGGCCGGAAGUACCACACAGACUGGCACCACCAUAGCCAGCACCGGAUUCACCCCUCUCCUGCUCCAAGAACUCCCUGU
This is a long non-coding RNA of Orcinus orca (killer whale), 885 nucleotides long. RefSeq lists it as uncharacterized. The transcript has 4 exons. NCBI's taxonomy places the organism in Eukaryota, Metazoa, Chordata, Mammalia, Artiodactyla, Delphinidae. The record is from RefSeq and is a predicted model, not a curated record.